RNAcentral lists this transfer RNA (82 nucleotides) under Ipomoea nil (Japanese morning glory). It matches the Rfam family "tRNA". Rfam says of the family: Transfer RNA (tRNA) molecules are approximately 80 nucleotides in length. Their secondary structure includes four short double-helical elements and three loops (D, anti-codon, and T loops). Further hydrogen bonds mediate the characteristic L-shaped molecular structure. tRNAs have two regions of fundamental functional importance: the anti-codon, which is responsible for specific mRNA codon recognition, and the 3' end, to which the tRNAs corresponding amino acid is attached (by aminoacyl-tRNA synthetases). tRNAs cope with the degeneracy of the genetic code in two manners: having more than one tRNA (with a specific anti-codon) for a particular amino acid; and 'wobble' base-pairing, i.e. permitting non-standard base-pairing at the 3rd anti-codon position. Lineage: Eukaryota; Viridiplantae; Streptophyta; Magnoliopsida; Solanales; Convolvulaceae. The record is from Rfam by way of RNAcentral.
GUCAAUAUGUCCGAGUGGUUAAGGAGAUAGAUUCAAAAUCUAUUGGGCUUUGCCUGUGUAGGUUCAAAUCUUGUUGUCGAUG